CCUGAACGCUGGCGGCGUGGCUAAGACAUGCAAGUCGAACGGACGUAGCAAUACGUCAGUGGCGGACGGGUGAGUAAUGAAUCGCUAACGUACCCCGGAGCCUGGGAUAGCUGCCCGAAAGGGCAGGUAAUACCAGAUGAGACCACAACACCGCAUGGUGAUGUGCUCAAAGCAGCAAUGCACUCUGGGAGCGGGCGAUUUCGUAUCAGCUAGUUGGUGAGGUAACGGCUCACCAAGGCGACGACGCGUAACCGGACUGAGAGGUUGGCCGGUCACAUUGGGACUGAGACACUGCCCAGACUCCGUACGGGGGCUGCAGUAACGAAUCUUCCGCAAUGCACGAAAGUGUGACGGAGCGACGCCGCGUGUGGGACGAAG
Molecule: ribosomal RNA, 378 nt
Filed under: uncultured bacterium
Lineage: Bacteria
Description: bacterial SSU rRNA
Rfam family: Bacterial small subunit ribosomal RNA
Source: RNAcentral